This 252-nucleotide ribosomal RNA is filed under the name uncultured bacterium. RNAcentral describes it as "partial 16S ribosomal RNA". It matches the Rfam family "Bacterial small subunit ribosomal RNA", at positions 524 to 776 of the family's 1533-position model. The record is from RNAcentral.
UAAGUAGGGGGCGAGCGUUGUCCGGAAUCAUUGGGCGUAAAGGGCGCGUAGGCGGGCUUAUAAGUCUGAUGUGAAAGUGCGGGGCUUAACUCAGUAAAGCAUUGGAAACUGUAAGUCUUGAGGACAGGAGAGGAAAGUGGAAUUCCACGUGUAGCGGUGAAAUGCGUAGAGAUGUGGAGGAACACCAGUGGCGAAGGCGACUUUCUGGACUGUAACUGACGCUGAGGCGCGAAAGCGUGGGGAGCGAACAGG